Long non-coding RNA from Alligator mississippiensis (American alligator), 2155 nucleotides. RefSeq lists it as uncharacterized. The record is from RefSeq and is a predicted model, not a curated record. The transcript has 3 exons. NCBI's taxonomy places the organism in Eukaryota, Metazoa, Chordata, Crocodylia, Alligatoridae.
GAUGGGGAGGGGAGCCCCUCAGCCAACCCACAGAGAGAUGAGCAAAGUCCACCAGAACUGCUGGGAGUCAUGAACUACCUGAAAGGGGAUUGCAGUCCUGAGGAGGGGAGGAGGCAAGAAUUUCCACAGGGGAAAAAGGGUCCUUUCUUUUUAUUGAUCAAAGCUCUCCAGGUGGAUAAGAGAGCAUCAGAACAAGCAGGAUGUGGCCAAUUAAUCCAAAUACAAGGUCUCCUGCAAUUCCAUGACUUCAGGGUGCUACAGUUUCCUUUGCUGCUGAGUGAAAGUAAACCUAAUGUUCCUGCAUUGGACAGAUGGCUUAAGAACCUGUGCAAAGUCUUAGCCACGAGAAAGAAAAAAAUGACUAGCUGUUAAGGAUGCUACACAUGACAGGUAUCUGAAUGCAGAGCUUCUUUCCAUCACCCUUGCUUGGGGAGCUGGAUUAGCCCAGCCUCUUGAAAAUACUUGAAGCUAAUGUGCUUGAAGAACUUUCAUCCUCCUUCAAGGCGACCUGUGAAGGAUUGUUUAAAAGGAGAUGGCUGCCCCUUUAUAGCCUUUUCUGUGAGUAGUAAAUAGGGUCAGACAGGUGUUUUGUUUUUUUUUAUUUCCAUUUUUUAAAGGUUGGCAACUCAUAUUUGUGAAAUGGAUGCCACAUUCUUCUGCAGUAUUGACACUGUAAAGAAUGUACAGCUGGAGUUGUUCUGAAAGACACUGCACUUUGAUACACACACAAAGGGCCAGAUUUUAUUUCAUGUAUUAGGUGUCCAAGUUGAUCUUAUUCUACCUUGUUGGAAUCCUUGAAAAACAGUCAAUGCAGAAAGGAGAACAGGGUGGCACCUUAGAGAAUAAUUGGAUGGAGAGGCAGGGGCCUUUGUAGGCAACAAACUGUUUCAUCAGAUGCUAUGAAUGGACUAGCAGAAAUAAAAGUUUUUUAUACAGAAGGCAAAGGACCAGGGGAAAGGGAUGCUACUAAGAGAUGUAACAAGUGGGCUACUUAGAUCAAUAGAGAUGAACAAGGCAGAUAAUACAUGCAGGGACCUGGAGUAAAUAGCUAUUCUGGUAAUGGGAUAAGAAUCCAUAAUUUCUGUUGAUAUCAUAGUUAAAAUAAUCCAGUCUGUGGGCAGACAGGACCUGGUUAACCACCUCUGUGCAAAAGGUGGAUGCAUCCGCCUCUUCCUUAUUGCUUUUCAUGAUUUAUUCCUAAGGCUAAAAUAAUGGCAUACUACUAAAGGAGAUGCAUUAAUAUAAUUUAAGGACUUGAGCAUGGUGGAAUAGAAUCAUUCUUCAGCACCUAAAUCAAAUAGGACUAGCCCAAUGUCUUCUCAAAGAUGAUGCAUGCCUAUCUCCCCAUUUUUAAUCCAAAAUGACCAAUUAAGACGUCUGGGUGCCAAGAUUUGACGUGCGUAUUAUAAAACUUCAUUUGUAUACAGAGAUGUGUGUGGUGGAUUUGUUUCAGCAAAUGACUCAAUUGCAAAGGCAAUAUGAGUUGUUGUUAUUAUUGUAACAGCUGCUGCUGGAUUUGCAGCAGGGCUCAGGAUCCCUACAAGGGCAGAGCGGGAAAGUUUGUAGAAAGUUGCAUAAAGUUGUUGCUUGUAAGAGCAUAUGCAUGUUUUUGAUUGGCUCCUGAGGCAGGAGAGGGGAGGGAACUCAGCCAGGCUCAGAGAAGGGAAGGAGCCCCAGGACCACAGAGCUUGGGGAAGAAGUACCCUGCAGCCUGCCUGUGAAGUGAACCUGCCCUUAGUGAAGGGAGAAGACACCCUGAUAUCUUUUUUCCCUCUGUGAGGCAGAGGGACCUGUGAUGAGGAAAAAGGGUGAUACCACAGACAGGUGGAGCAGAAGAGAGCUGCUCUUCCCCAUGCAAGCUCUAGCAGAGAGCAGGUCUUUCUGGAGCAGCAGCAGCAGCUGUGGCUAUUGUGCUGCCAGUGUGAAGGAGAGCUGAUGUCUUGUUAACCCUGGGUGCUCCUGCUGAAAUUUACUGGAGUCUCAAGGUUUAAGCUGGGGACUUCAUUAAGUUUGUACUGAGGGUGUCUUUGAUUCAAUUUGUAUAGGGUGUUUUAGUUCAUUGAUACCUGCCUUUGACAAUUAUUGAUAUCCUGUUCUGCUGUUAACCUCGUUCAUAUGUUGACUGUUUUGUAAAUAAUAAACUGUGGAAAUAGUU